GAGCGGAACCAAAACAAGCCACAAGAAGAAGAAGACACUCACAGGCCGGCCACGCUGCUCUGCCUCAUUCCCUGGCCACUACUUAUCUGUGUCCAUUGCCUACGUGAGUAAAGGAAGCGCCAAACAUGAAGCUGAGCCCAGACGCCAAGCAGAGGCUGCAGACAGUGCUAAACAUCGGGCAAGACUGUCUUCCACUGGGGGUUCCUGCCUCUUGUGCUGUAUCUGGGAUUCCAGCAGGGGAGUGACCCAGGCUCUCCAGAAAUUGCCCUUGGGAACAUCAUCUGGUAAUUGAUCAGGAAGGCGCCACACAGCAUGACAGCCUGCACCUCCUCAAUACAGCAGGCUUCAACACACAGCACAGCACAGCAGGGACUUACGGGGAGGAACAGAAUGGCAGGACAGCUUGAGAAGAUGGGAAAAUGAGAAGAGAUGGAGAACAAGGAAGAAAUAAUGACUGACUGACUGACUGACUGACUGACUGACUGACUGGUUAACUGACUGGCUAAAGGGGUGACUUACUGACUUAAUGGCUAGUUAAGUGAUUGACUGACUGGCUAUGUGAGGGAGUGAGUGACUGGCUGGCUGGAUGACUGGUUAACUGACUGUGUACAAUGCUUGACCAAGUGACAGACUGACUGACUCAUCAAUACAUUCCCUUUCACAAAUCAAAUCAAUGUUGAAAUUCUAUAAAGGAAUUGAAGCAUAAUUGUAAUACACACACACACACACACACACACACACACACACACACACACACACACACACACACACACACACACACACACACACGUCACAACCCUCUCAAAAAGCUACUGUCAUGUGAAUUGCAGCCACAGACUCCGCAGCGCUGUGCAGGUCAUACACCAAAGACUUCAAGACUCUGGUGAGGAGGAGCAAAACCCAAAACAAAUAAAAAAAAAUACAACUUA
This is a long non-coding RNA of Scylla paramamosain (green mud crab), 929 nucleotides long. RefSeq lists it as uncharacterized. The transcript has 3 exons. Lineage: Eukaryota; Metazoa; Arthropoda; Malacostraca; Decapoda; Portunidae. The record is from RefSeq and is a predicted model, not a curated record.